AAGCUUGGUCCUGACUUUACUAUCAACUUUAGCUAUAUUUACACAUGCAAGUAUCCGCACCCCUGUGAGAAUGCCCUAAUAGCUCCCCGCCCGGGAACAAGGAGCUGGUAUCAGGCACAACCAACUGUAGCCCACGACACCUUGCUUUGCCACACCCUCAAGGGAACUCAGCAGUGAUAGACAUUAAGCCAUAAGUGAAAACUUGACUUAGUUAAAGCUAAGAGGGCCGGUUAAACUCGUGCCAGCCACCGCGGUUAUACGAGAGGCCCAAGUCGAUAGUCAACGGCGUAAAGAGUGGUUAGAAGAAACCCAUUACUAAAGCCGAACGCCCUCAAAGCUGUUAUACGCAUCCGAAGGUGAGAAGCCCAUCCACGAAAGUGGCUUUACAAUCUUGAAUCCACGAAAGCUAUGAUACAAACUGGGAUUAGAUACCCCACUAUGCUUAGCCCUAAACAUUGACAACAACAUACACCUGUUGUCCGCCUGGGAACUACGAGCAUCAGCUUGAAACCCAAAGGACUUGGCGGUGCUUUAGAUCCACCUAGAGGAGCCUGUUCUAGAACCGAUAACCCCCGUUCAACCUCACCCUUCUUUGUUUCCCCCGCCUAUAUACCGCCGUCGUCAGCUUACCCUGUGAAGGAUUAAUAGUAAGCAAAAUUGGUACAACCCUAAACGCCAGGUCGAGGUGUAGCGUAUGGAAGGGGAAGAAAUGGGCUACAUUCUCUAACACAGAGAAAACGAAUGAUGUACUGAAAUACACGUCUGAAGGAGGAUUUAGCAGUAAGCAGGAAAUAGAGUGUCCCGCUGAAAUUGGCCCUGAAGCGCGCACACACCGCCCGUCACUCUCCCCAAACUAAUUAAAUUCAAUUAAAUAAAACCCCAUCACAGUGAAGGGGAGGCAAGUCGUAACAUGGUAAGUGUACCGGAAGGUGCACUUGGAAAAAUCAGGGCAUAGCUAAGACAGAAAAGCAUCUCCCUUACACUGAGCAGUCAUCCGUGCAAAUCGGGUUGCCCUGACGCCCAUUAGCUAGCCGUCUCAACUAAAAACAACAAAUCCCCAUCAAUACCCCCUAAGACACUCAAAACAACACUAAACAAACCAUUUUCCCCCCAAGUACGGGCGACAGAAAAGGA
RNAcentral lists this non-coding RNA (1134 nucleotides) under Umbrina canariensis (Canary drum). RNAcentral's name for it is "partial small subunit ribosomal RNA". The stretch from base 1 to 943 matches the Rfam family "Bacterial small subunit ribosomal RNA". The record is from RNAcentral. Lineage: Eukaryota; Metazoa; Chordata; Actinopteri; Sciaenidae.